Carlito syrichta (Philippine tarsier) is the source of this 304-nucleotide RNA transcript. It is a transcript of the gene named deleted in autism protein 1 pseudogene, with no coding region annotated. The transcript has a single exon. The record is from RefSeq and is a predicted model, not a curated record. Lineage: Eukaryota; Metazoa; Chordata; Mammalia; Primates; Tarsiidae.
GCAGCUCGACCAGAGCAUCUGCAAGCGGGCCACCGGCCGGCCCCGCUGCGACCUGCUCCAGGCCAUGCCCCGCACCGAGUUCGCGCGCCUCAACGGCGACGUGCGCCUGCUCACGCCCGAGGCGGUGGAGGGCUGGUCGGACCUGGUGCACUGCCCCUCGCAGCGCCUGCUCGACCGCCUGGUGCGCCGCUACGCCGAGACCAAGGACUCGGGCAGCUUCCUGCUCCGCAACCUCAAGGACUCGGAGCGCAUGCAGCUGCUGCUGACGCUGGCCUUCAACCCCGAGCCGCUGGUGCUACAGGUA